UGACCUAUGGUGUAAUUGGUAACACGGCAGUUUUUGGUUCUGUUAUUCAAGGUUCGAGUCCUUGUAGGUCAA
This 72-nucleotide transfer RNA is filed under the name bacterium. RNAcentral's name for it is "tRNA-Gln". It matches the Rfam family "tRNA". Rfam says of the family: Transfer RNA (tRNA) molecules are approximately 80 nucleotides in length. RNAcentral also lists the same sequence under 2 other names. The record is from RNAcentral.